Molecule: unclassified non-coding RNA, 1806 nt
Filed under: Agrilus planipennis (emerald ash borer)
Lineage: Eukaryota; Metazoa; Arthropoda; Insecta; Coleoptera; Buprestidae
Description: uncharacterized LOC108735988, transcript variant X2
Source: RNAcentral
GUAAGUGUUAUAUAAAUUUUUCUACAAAAAUUAAUAAUUAGGUACCUGCCAAACAAAUAACCAAAAAAAUACUUCUACAUUUGUGUCGUAAUACAACCACGGUGGUACCACAUUCUUUUUCAAGAAAAUUAAUCGAAAGGCAAGACGUAAAUGUAAUAUAAUAAUAGUGGAUGUCAUUGUCCAUGUUAUUAGAGCAGUUGGACGACUAGGCAACAUUGACAAAUAGCCAGAGAUAAUUUUAGUAAGGCUAUCGACUUCCCUUGAACUCCCGUCAAAUGAACCAAAAAAUGUAAUGCAGAAUAUUAAAACUUAAAUUGGCCGUAAAAUUUUCAUGAAGAUUAUAUAAAGCGAGACGAAGCAAGAUGAGGGUCGUAUCGGCUAUUUUAAUCGUUACAAUAAACGCUGUUACAAUUUUAGGAGCAGCUUAUCAAACGAACGAUGUAUCGAGUAAUUCAAUAGCAAGUUUAAAUAACACAAAAAAUGACAAGUGCAGUCAAAUGUAUGUCUGCCCUCCCAAUUUUCUUAGGAUAAACCAAAACUGCUACUACUUCAGCACUGAGGCAGUUCCUUGGCGAACAGCCUUCGAUGACUGUAUCAAAUUAAAAGGGACCCUUGCGAUGAUAAGAAACAUAAACCAGGAUAACAAUAUCAAAGGAUUGUUGAAAAGGGUGCCUCUAGCUAAAGACGAAAGAUGGAUAGGAGGUUUAUACGACUGGACCAAAAUGAACUGGAAAUGGGGUAAAAACGCAAAGGAAAUCAAGUAUUUAGGUUUCGAUGCGUCUGUAUCGCAAGAGAAAGAUCAGCUUCAGUGGAAAUGUAUCACACUGGAUCCAAUACUUGAUUACAGGUGGAACGCCCGAUCUUGCUUUGAAAACAAACAUUACAUUUGUCAAACAAGGAUAGCGAAGAUACCGAAGUCAGAAAGGAAGAAGUUCAUAAAGAAAUUCAACGCAAAUAAAAAUAACAAAAUGAAUGAAGUAUUGGCUCCCAAUCUAACCGAAGAUUUUCCAGAGGAACUGAAAACAAGCAGGAGAUACAAUUCCAAUCUCCAAGAUACUGCAUUCGCCAGACGAAAUGAAACUGUAGUCGACAGGCGUAGAGGAAAGAAGAAUGGAGGCAAAAAGAAACGAAAAAAUAAAAGAAAUCUUCGAUGUCCAGUCUACUAUAAUGGAACGAGAUACGAAAUGCCAGUAACAAAGUUCGGCAGAAAGAAAAGAAAAAACAUAAAGUCAAUUGAAAGCAAUAGCGCUUCUGCAGAAAACUUAAAAUCCGUUAUUUAUUACGAGAAGUUACCGAACGGACAGUCGGAACCCAGAGUUCUUACGGAAGAACUUUUUAUCAGUUAAAUGAGUGCUUGUGAUUAUCAUUUAUUGUUUUUAUACAUACAUAGACAGUUCGUUCCGAACAAGGACCUUUGUCAACAUUAACCAUGUGUGAUUCGUAUUAACAGUUCAUUUAAGUUAUUUCAUAGUUUUUAUAAGCUUAUCCCUUUCAUAAAAUCAUUAAAGUAUUAUUUAAUUAUAUUUUUAGUGUUUAUUUAUUGAUCAGACAUUAAAUACCAAAUGCUCCAAAAACUUUAUUAAAACCUCUAGUCACAAAAGUGAGAGAGGCUUAAAAUUAUUAAUUAUUAUAGGUUGUACAAAUUUUAAAUUUAAAGGUUUUAUUAACAAAAUAGUUAUAGACAUUUACAUGCUUUAGGAUACUUGGAUCAUUAUUUUUAGCCUCAAUAAGUAUUUGGUUUUACCUGAUCAAAAAUAGAUUAUUUAUUUAAGAGAGUGCUGUAAGAACAUGAUAAAUAUUUUAUAU